UACGAAAUCCUUCCAUGAUGUGCU
Molecule: non-coding RNA, 24 nt
Filed under: Arabidopsis thaliana (thale cress)
Lineage: Eukaryota; Viridiplantae; Streptophyta; Magnoliopsida; Brassicales; Brassicaceae
Source: RNAcentral